UAACAAGGACAGCCUGACUUGGAUCCCACUAGGCAGGAAGGAAGGCGACUCUUCCUCGCACCUCUUGCUACGAUUAGGACUUGCGGCUUGGUGAAAACAGGAAUCAAAACUUGGGCCUAUUUCUCCUGAGUUCUGCUUGCCUAGAACAAUUCGUAACAAUGAAUCUUAUUAAAAAGAGAAAGCCAUCCCCGACUUUAUCUUUUUCCGCCCAGAAUCCGAUAAGGAAGACUUGUUCUGGCCCCCUCAGCUCUCUGACCUCAUCUACCAGAGGAGUGAGUGGGAUCCUCUAACACUCCAGCCGUCAUCCCAGCACUAGGGGACAGUGACCAGUGUGGCUCCCGUGGCCAGAACCCUUCUGAAGUUUGGGUUGCCCUGUGGUCUUCGCCUUCAAAGCAGGCCGUCACUUGAAUCCUUCUGGAAUUUACAGAAAUCGUUCUGGAAUUUACAGAAUCCUUCUGGAAUUUACAGUGUUACUGUAAACGCUACGGAAUAGUAUCUUCUAAGUAUUAGUAGCUUCUUUCUUGAGGGAUCUCGGGAACGUUCCGUGUAUUAACCACUAACAUAUUCCAAAGUUAACUUCUUGGUAAAGUCACUGGGGAAAAAAAUAAUUGCUCCAGUUCCACAGGUGAUUGAAACAAACGUGAUUUGUUUCCCAAACUUCCUUGAUAGUAAAGAAUUACUUGGGGUACUAAUUAAAAAUAAAAAUAAUUGCGUCAUUUCCAACCUA
RNAcentral lists this long non-coding RNA (727 nucleotides) under Pongo abelii (Sumatran orangutan). RNAcentral's name for it is "lincRNA". The record is from RNAcentral. Lineage: Eukaryota; Metazoa; Chordata; Mammalia; Primates; Hominidae.